GAUUGCACCCCCUUGCUAAUUGUGUGACACUCAAGCUUUUUUCUAUCUUGCACCAAGUGAUGAUGUGAUACAGAAGCAGACAGCCAUAAAUGGCCAAAAAAAGCUUAAUUAAGUAUUCUGCAGCUGCUACAAAUUAGAUCAGCAUCUGCAUCUGUGCAGACAAUGAAAUUCAUGGUAAUUUUGAGGGCCAAGCAAAGUGGAGGUUUGUUUUGGAUGGACGCCUAGCCACAAUUCAAACAAAAUUCCGACUCAAGCAUAUUCUAAGAGGGGAAAAAAAGCGGUUGGACGUUCUGUGCUGCAAAACUUCUUUACCUCUGGACAUGACUGAAUUGUUUUCUUUGCUGUUGAUCAGCUAAAGGGGCAAGAGCUGGAGAACAGGUACAUGUUUGGAAGGGGUUUAGAAAAUUUUCUAGCUCCUAAGUGAGAGUGUCUUUUUGUGAAGGGUCUUUUUGUACUCUACAUAUUCAUGUAGAGGAAGACAAGAGAAUAGGAAUACGGGUAGAAAUAACUCAAGAGGACUGUUGCUAGUGGGUAUAAACAGGUUAAGAAUUUUUGGAUUAAAUGGAGAUUCAGUGAGGAGUUCCCACAUCCUUUUUGCAGAUUAUACCUAGCAGUUGGGAAGCUGUUUAAAGAGUGCUUUUUCCCAAGAACAAAGAAACCAAGUGCUUCUUUACCCUAAGUGGAAGCCAGUUCCCUUGUAUUUCUGUGGAAGAAUGCAAGCCUAAAUCUCAUUUCAGUGAGAUGAGGUGUAGUAUUAAAUGGUUAAUGCAUUGAUUUAGUGCAAGAACAUAUAAUUAAAUAGACAGAUGUAUUUUUUGCAACUUCUGAUAUACAAGUAGAUUGUCUCACAGUUUCUACUAUUUUUCUCAGUGUCAAUACACUCUUUUAGAAUUACUGCACAUGAUAAUAAUUUAUUACCAAGCAUUCUUUCUACAAUAAUUUUAAAAUCAGGAGAUGGGUUGCUACUAGAGACUAUUUGCAUAUAGUCAUAUGGGGCUUUAA
Molecule: long non-coding RNA, 1002 nt
Filed under: Taeniopygia guttata (zebra finch)
Lineage: Eukaryota; Metazoa; Chordata; Aves; Passeriformes; Estrildidae
Description: lncRNA (ENSTGUG00000024528.1)
Source: RNAcentral